Molecule: transfer RNA, 91 nt
Filed under: Capillimicrobium parvum
Lineage: Bacteria; Bacillati; Actinomycetota; Thermoleophilia; Solirubrobacterales; Capillimicrobiaceae
Description: tRNA-Val
Source: RNAcentral
GGCGCGGCUGCUGUGGUGUUCGGUGCGCCCGUCUACGACGGGCGAUGGCCGCCCGAGGCCUCGGAGUUCGUGCGGCGCGAGGCCGCGGCGC